RNAcentral lists this ribosomal RNA (1559 nucleotides) under Triticum aestivum (bread wheat). RNAcentral's name for it is "partial small subunit ribosomal RNA". The record is from RNAcentral. Lineage: Eukaryota; Viridiplantae; Streptophyta; Magnoliopsida; Poales; Poaceae.
CCCUCCCCCUCUUCCUCGCCGUCGCCGUCUCCGUCGCGGCGCUCCUCCGCACCGGCGAGGCCUCGGUGCACGAGUACAGCGGCCUCAGCUUCCUCAACAAGGGCAAUGCCUUCAUCCUCCACGCCGGGAGCGAGGGCCUCUACGCCCCCGUCUCCCCCGCCAAUGCCACCGCCGAGGAGGAGGACGACGAGGCCGCCGCCGACGCCUUCAUACGGUUUGACAAGAUUACGUUUAGGAGGCCAGAGGAGGCUAAUGAUUCUGUGAAAGAAACUACUUCAUCUAAGGUUCAGAUAAUUGUCUUUGAAAUAGAAGAUCGUGAAAUGAUUGGUGGAUCAGCAUAUGGUGGUCAAAAAGCAAUUUGCUGUACAUCAGAUCUUGCAAAGUUGGGAGCUUGUGUUGAAGGCUCUGUCAUCUACCGCCCAUCGCAGGUGAAUCCUGGCUGGCCACAGUUGUUUGUUGCUUCUUUUGAUGGAAGUGAUCUGAUUGCAACGCUGCCUUCAAGGACCAUUCCAGUAAAGAAAACUGGGAUGUACAAUAUGUACUUUAUACACUGUGACCCGGCACUUGCUGGACUGGAAAUCGACGGGAAAACCAUAUGGAAAAAUCCUACUGGCUACCUUCCAGGUCGGAUGGCACCUCUUAAGAACUUCUUUGGGCUGAUGUCAUUUGCUUUCGUGAUACUUGGUAUCUAUUGGUUUUAUCAAUACAUGAAGUUCUGGCGAGAGGUUCUUCCACUUCAGAACUGUAUUACUCUUGUUAUUACAUUGGGUAUGCUUGAGAUGGCAUUGUGGUAUUUUGAAUAUGCUGAGUUCAAUGAGACUGGAGUUCGGGCAAAGGCCAUCACAUUUUGGGCUGUAACAUUUGGGACUAUUAAAAGAACAGUGGCUCGUCUUAUUAUUCUCAUUGUCUCGAUGGGGUAUGGAGUUGUGAGGCCUACUUUGGGUGGUCUGACAUCGAAAGUGGUCAUGCUUGGAGGAACAUUCUUUGUAGCUACAGAAAUUCUUGAGCUAGUGGAAAAUCUAGGUACUGUGAAUGAUCUGUCUGGAAAAGCUCGGCUAUUUUUGGUCUAUCCAGUGGCUAUCUUGGAUGCUUCAUUCAUUGUUUGGAUAUUUAUUUCUCUAGCCAAGACCCUUAGCCAACUUCAGGCAAGAAGGUUGAUGGCCAAACUUGACAUUUAUAGGAAAUUCACUAUUGCAUUGGCUAUUACUGUUCUGGUAUCUAUCGGCUGGAUUGGCUAUGAGAUUUACUUCAAAUCGACAGAUGUGUUCAAUGAGCGGUGGCAGUAUGCAUGGAUAAUUCCUGCUUUCUGGCAUGCCCUAUCAUUCUCACUUCUUUGCGUCAUUUCCUACCUGUGGGCGCCUUCUCAGAGCUCAAUGAGAUUUACCAAUGAUGCAAGUGAAAAGUUUGAUCGAGAGGACAGCCUGUCAUUAAUAAGGCCAAGGCCCAUUGUUUCCAACAACGGGUGGAGCGUAGCUUCGUCAACAGACACCAAAGCGACGAAGAGCGCAGACAGUGUGACAUCUUUUGACGAAGACGACGAAGAAAACAAAAGGGAGUGA